AUGGGGCCCACACUCCUCUGCCUGGCGGCCCUGUGUGUCCUGGGAGCAGGCUCCGUGGACACCGAGGUCACCCAGACUCCAGGACAGCUGGUCAGAGGGACAAAGCAGAAAGCGAGGAUGGAGUGUGUCCCUAUCAAAGGUCAUAACCGUGUUUAUUGGUAUCGUCAGAAGCCGGGAGAAGACCUGACGUUUAUGAUUUACUUUGUGAAUGAAGAAGCCACUGAUGAAUCAGGAAUGCCCAGUGAGCGGUUUUCAGCUCAGUGUCCCAAGAACUCACGGUGCAGCAUGAAGAUCGAGCCCACGGAGCUGCAGGACUCAGCCGUGUACUUCUGUGCCAGCAGUGAGUCCACAGAGCUGCAGGGUCAGCUGUUCCUGGGACACAAACUUGCUCUGACCCAGCUCAGGAAACAGGUGGGACAUGAGGUUGUUGGGCAGUAA
Elephantulus edwardii (Cape elephant shrew) is the source of this 438-nucleotide non-coding RNA. Lineage: Eukaryota; Metazoa; Chordata; Mammalia; Macroscelidea; Macroscelididae. The record is from the annotation of a RefSeq genome assembly.